RNAcentral lists this ribosomal RNA (1128 nucleotides) under uncultured bacterium. Its description in RNAcentral is "bacterial SSU rRNA". It matches the Rfam family "Bacterial small subunit ribosomal RNA", at positions 304 to 1452 of the family's 1533-position model. The record is from RNAcentral.
ACAGCCACAUUGGGACUGAGACACGGCCCAGACUCCUACGGGAGGCAGCAGUGGGGAAUUUUCCGCAAUGGACGAAAGUCUGACGGAGCGACGCUGCGUGAAGGAUGAAGGCCCGUGGGUUGUAAACUUCUUUUCUCGAAGAAGAAAAAAAUGACGGUAUUCGAGGAAUAAGCAUCGGCUAACUCUGUGCCAGCAGCCGCGGUAAGACAGAGGAUGCAAGUGUUAUUCGGAAUGAUUGGGCGUAAAGAGUCUGUAGGCGGUUUAGAAAGUCUUUUGUGAAAUACUUCAGCUCAACUGAGGCUCCGCAAAAGAAACUUCUAGACUUGAGGAAAGUAGAGGUACAGGGAAUUUCCGGUGGAGCGGUGAAAUGCGUAGAUAUCGGAAGGAACACCAAUAUGGCGAAGGCACUGUACUGGGCUUUUCCUGACGCUCAGAGACGAAAGCUGAAGGAGUGAUUAGGAUUAGAUACCCUAGUAAUUUCAGCCGUAAACGAUGAAAACUCACUGUCGAGCCAAUAUAUGGAGCGGUGGUCAAGCUAACGCGUGAAGUUUUCCGCCUGGGGAUUACGCUUGCAAAAGUGAAACUCAAAGGAAUUGACGGGGACCCGCACAAGCGGUGGAGUAUGUGGUUUAAUUCGAUGCAACGCGAAAAACCUUACCAGGGUUUGAAAUAAUUUCAAAACUUCUUGAAAGAGAAGCCUCCUUCGGGAUGGAAUUACAGGUGGUGCAUGGCUGUCGUCAGCUCGUGUUGUGAAAUGUCAAGUUAAGUCUUGUAACGAGCGCAACCCAUGUCUCUUGUUGCUGUUUACAGUGCUUAAGAGAAACUGCCGAUCAACAUCGGAGGAAGGUGUGGAUGAUGUCAAGUCAGCAUGCCCCUUACAUCCUGGGCUACACACGUACUACAAUGGUCGAGACAAAGGGUCGCUAACCUGCGAAGGUAUGCCAAUCUCAUAAACUCGAUCUCAGUUCGGAUUGUACUCUGCAACUCGAGUACAUGAAGGUGGAAUCGCUAGUAAUCGCUGGUCAGCAUACAGCGGUGAAUACGUUCCCGGGUCUUGUACACACUGCCCGUCACACCAUGGAAGUCGACCCUUCCCUAAGUCGUUACUCGAACCUGUAAAGGACGAGG